RNAcentral lists this ribosomal RNA (253 nucleotides) under uncultured bacterium. RNAcentral's name for it is "partial 16S ribosomal RNA". It matches the Rfam family "Bacterial small subunit ribosomal RNA", at positions 524 to 776 of the family's 1533-position model. The record is from RNAcentral.
UACGGAGGGUGCUAGCGUUGUUCGGAAUCACUGGGCGUAAAGGGCUCGUAGGUGGCCAACUAAGUCAGACGUGAAAUCCCUCGGCUUAACCGGGGAACUGCGUCUGAUACUGGAUGGCUAGAGAUUGGGAGAGGGAUGCGGAAUUCCAGGUGUAGCGGUGAAAUGCGUAGAUAUCUGGAGGAACACCGGUGGCGAAGGCGGCAUCCUGGACCAACACUGACGCUGAGGAGCGAAAGCCAGGGGAGCAAACGGG